This 216-nucleotide ribosomal RNA is filed under the name Xanthomonas citri pv. citri. RNAcentral's name for it is "partial 23S ribosomal RNA". It matches the Rfam family "Bacterial large subunit ribosomal RNA", at positions 1 to 210 of the family's 2925-position model. The record is from RNAcentral. Lineage: Bacteria; Pseudomonadati; Pseudomonadota; Gammaproteobacteria; Lysobacterales; Lysobacteraceae.
GCAAAGUUGUGUAGUGCGAUCGGUGGAUGCCUUGGCACCAAGAGCCGAUGAAGGACGUUGUGACCUGCGAUAAGCCCUGGGGAGUUGGUGAGCGAGCUGUGAUCCGGGGGUGUCCGAAUGGGGAAACCUGGAAUGUCCGGAGUAGUGUCCGGUGGCCCUGCCCUGAAUGUAUAGGGGUGUGGGUGGUAACGCGGGGAAGUGAAACAUCUUAGUACC